GAUGAACGCUAGCUACAGGCUUAACACAUGCAAGUCGCGGGGCAGCAUGGGGGUUGCUUGCAAUCCCCGAUGGCGACCGGCGCACGGGUGAGUAACGCGUAUCCAACCUGCCCUUCACCACGGGAUAACCCGGCGAAAGUCGGACUAAUACCGUAUGUUGUCCAUUGACGGCAUCCGAUUUGGACGAAAGGUUUGGCGGUGAGGGAUGGGGAUGCGUCCGAUUAGCUGGACGGCGGGGUGACGGCCCACCGUGGCGACGAUCGGUAGGGGUUCUGAGAGGAAGGUCCCCCACACUGGAACUGAGACACGGUCCAGACUCCUACGGGAGGCAGCAGUGAGGAAUAUUGGUCAAUGGGCGUAAGCCUGAACCAGCCAAGUAGCGUGCAGGAGGACGGCCCUAUGGGUUGUAAACUGCUUUUAUGCGGGGAUAAAGUGGCCCACGUGUGGGUUUUUGCAGGUACCGCAUGAAUAAGGACCGGCUAAUUCCGUG
RNAcentral lists this ribosomal RNA (490 nucleotides) under uncultured bacterium. RNAcentral's name for it is "partial 16S ribosomal RNA". It matches the Rfam family "Bacterial small subunit ribosomal RNA", at positions 28 to 507 of the family's 1533-position model. The record is from RNAcentral.